AGAGUGUACGCUGGCGGCAGGCCUAACACAUGCAAGUCGAGCGGCAGCACAGUCGUAGCAAUACGAUGGGUGGCGAGCGGCGGACGGGUGAGGAAUGCAUCGGAAUCUACCUUGUUGUGGGGGAUAACGUAGGGAAACUUACGCUAAUACCGCAUGAGACCGUAAGGUGAAAGCGGGGGACCUGUGAGGGCCUCGCGCGACAAGAUGAGCCGAUGCCGGAUUAGCUAGUUGGUGGGGUAAAGGCCCACCAAGGCGACGAUCCGUAGCUGGUCUGAGAGGAUGAUCAGCCACACUGGAACUGAGACACGGUCCAGACUCCUACGGGAGGCAGCAGUGGGAAUAUUGGACAAUGGGCGCAAGCCUGAUCCAGCCAUGCCGCGUGUGUGAAGAAGGCCUUCGGUUGUAAAGCUAACUUUUUGGUUAGGGUAAAGAAAUCCGUAGGGUAAUUAAGUACUCCCCGGUGCUGAACGUAACCGAAAGAAUAAGACACCGGACUAACUUCGUCGCCACG
This 511-nucleotide ribosomal RNA is filed under the name uncultured soil bacterium. RNAcentral's name for it is "bacterial SSU rRNA". It matches the Rfam family "Bacterial small subunit ribosomal RNA", at positions 26 to 519 of the family's 1533-position model. The record is from RNAcentral.